RNAcentral lists this long non-coding RNA (225 nucleotides) under Prunus persica (peach). Its description in RNAcentral is "long non-coding RNA (PPER_LNC004364)". The record is from RNAcentral. Lineage: Eukaryota; Viridiplantae; Streptophyta; Magnoliopsida; Rosales; Rosaceae.
AGCAAUAGAAAAUGAGCACAAGGAAAUAAUUAAGGCUUGAGAUUUUGGGUGUUUUCGGUAACUAGACGAAUAGCUCAUGAUGUCUGUGUUUUCUACCAAAAAGGUAAUGGCUAUGGUUUCAACUUAGCUUGAGAGGAUGAGUGCUUUAGAUUUGGGAUGAAGCUUUUUAGAGAGAGAGAGAGAGAGAGAGAAAGAAAGAGAGAUAGAUAAAAAGGAUGGGUGGCU